UACGGAGGGUGCGAGCGUUGUCCGGAUUUAUUGGGUUUAAAGGGUGCGUAGGUGGGUUAAUAAGUCAGUGGUGAAAUACGGUUGCUCAACAAUCGAGGUGCCAUUGAUACUGUUAAUCUUGAAACAAGUGGAGGUUGCCGGAAUGGAUGGUGUAGCGGUGAAAUGCAUAGAUAUCAUCCAGAACACCGAUUGCGAAGGCAGCUUGCUAAACAAUUAUUGACGCUGAGGCACGAAAGCGUGGGGAUCAAACAGG
This 253-nucleotide ribosomal RNA is filed under the name uncultured bacterium. RNAcentral describes it as "partial 16S ribosomal RNA". It matches the Rfam family "Bacterial small subunit ribosomal RNA", at positions 524 to 776 of the family's 1533-position model. The record is from RNAcentral.